UAGAGUUUUCAAAACUCCCAACCCAUGUUAACUUACCUAUGUUGCCUCGGCGGCAGCCUACCCUGUACCUACCCUGUAACGGGUUACCCGGGAGCGGCCCCGCCAGAGGACCGAAACUCUUCGUCAUCAGUGGCCUCUCUGAGUAACUUAUACAAUAAGUCA
Molecule: unclassified non-coding RNA, 162 nt
Filed under: uncultured Ascomycota
Lineage: Eukaryota; Fungi; Ascomycota
Description: sequence contains ITS1
Source: RNAcentral